Molecule: non-coding RNA, 84 nt
Organism: Hypoxylon sp. EC38
Lineage: Eukaryota; Fungi; Ascomycota; Sordariomycetes; Xylariales; Hypoxylaceae
Source: the annotation of a GenBank genome assembly
GCACCUAUGGAGCAGAAGUUAGCUCAUUCCUCUCACAUGGUAUAGUGGUCAGGAAAGACCUGGGUGCAAAUCCCAGUAGGUGCA